UAAUAGUGUAUAUUAAAGUUGUUGCAGUUAAAAAGCUCGUAGUUGAAUGUUGGUGUCGAACGAGCGGUCAGCUUCGGCUGUACUGCUCUCUCGACUCCUUCCUUCUGUGGACUACGUCGCACUUUACUGUGUGGCGCUAGGACGCAGAUCGUUUACUGUGAAAAAAUUAGAGCGUUCAAAGCAGGCCGUACGCUUGAAUACAUUAGCAUGGAAUAAUGGAAUAGGACGUCGGGCCUAUUUUGUUGGUUCUAGGACCGUCGUAAUGAUUAAUAGGGACAGUUGGGGCCGUUUAUAUUCCGUAGUCAGAGGUGAAAUUCUUGGAUUUACGGAAGAUAAACUACUGCGAAAGCAUUCGGCAAGGAUGUUUUCGUUAA
Molecule: ribosomal RNA, 374 nt
Filed under: uncultured eukaryote
Lineage: Eukaryota
Description: partial 18S ribosomal RNA
Rfam family: Eukaryotic small subunit ribosomal RNA
Source: RNAcentral